This 293-nucleotide ribosomal RNA is filed under the name uncultured delta proteobacterium. Its description in RNAcentral is "partial 16S ribosomal RNA". It matches the Rfam family "Bacterial small subunit ribosomal RNA", at positions 391 to 699 of the family's 1533-position model. Lineage: Bacteria; Deltaproteobacteria. The record is from RNAcentral.
GCCAUGCCGCGUGAGUGAAGAAGGCCUUAGGGUUGUAAAGCUCUGUCGUGAGGGAAGAAGAUCUGACGGUACCUCACAAGAAAGCACCGGCUAACUCCGUGCCAGCAGCCGCGGUAAUACGGAGGGUGCAAGCGUUGCUCGGAAUUACUGGGCGUAAAGCGCACGCAGGCGGUUUGUCAGGUCGGAUGUGAAAGCCCGGGGCUCAACCCCGGAACUGCAUUCGAAACCGGCAGACUUGAGUUCCAGAGAGGGUGGUGGAAUUCCUGGUGUAGAGGUGAAAUUCGUUGAUAUCA